Long non-coding RNA from Ailuropoda melanoleuca (giant panda), 806 nucleotides. RefSeq lists it as uncharacterized. NCBI's taxonomy places the organism in Eukaryota, Metazoa, Chordata, Mammalia, Carnivora, Ursidae. The transcript has 2 exons. The record is from RefSeq and is a predicted model, not a curated record.
UUUCUGUGUACCCACUCACCAGCCGCAGCUCACUUGAACCUCAGAGGUUUGUCUCCCUUUGCCCAGCGACUAAGGAUCAGCUCUGGACCAGGCAACCCACUGAUUUUCUCCACCAUCCAAUGGGCUGCAACCGCAUCUUCUUCAGUGAUAUGAACCUCAGCCUUGGGAAACCGGCCACCCUUCCAAGUUUGUCCUUCCUUGGAACCUGUCUAACCAGCAUCACUGUGAGAACAAGGUCAGCCCCGCCAGGACAGCUUAUGGAUCUGCAGCUACACCUGCGGUAGGGGGCACAGGACUGGUGGUGGUACAAGGCAGCUCCAGUGUUGACUAGUGGCUCAGUUUGAGGAGGAGGACAUAGCUAAUGGCAUUUGCAUACUGCAAAGUGUUGCCAAUGGAGGCAUGAGGCUGGUGGUGGCCAGCACACCUUUGAUGAACAUCGUGAUAUGGCUAGAAGAUUACACACCCACAAUCCUGGGUGCUGUGACUGGUUACCCCCUGAUGCUGGCUUUGAAGCCUCCAGUGCAAGCAUAAUUCAGCUCAUCUCUCUGGCUCCAGAAAUUCAUCUCAGAUAUUGCCAACAAUGCCCUAUAGUACUUCAAAAUGAAGGGCAUAGCCUCUGGAAGCUCCCGAAGCAAGAGCGAGGAUAACAAGUUUUCUAACGAUAGAGAACUUGACCCUUGACAUCAGCAAGUAUAGCAUUGAUGUGAAGAGGCUGCACUACACUUCACUGGAGCCAACCUAAAUGUACUUGUUUGUCCCCUAGCCUCCACAAUGGUUGUUUUCAUAAUAAACUACUAUAAUAGCAA